Molecule: small nuclear RNA, 104 nt
Filed under: Prolemur simus (greater bamboo lemur)
Lineage: Eukaryota; Metazoa; Chordata; Mammalia; Primates; Lemuridae
Source: RNAcentral
GUGUUCACUUUGGCAGCACAUACACUAAAAUUGGAACAAUACAGAGAUUAGCAUGGCCCCCGAGCAAGGAUGACUUGCAAAUUUGUGAAGCGUCCCUUUUUUUU